Molecule: long non-coding RNA, 203 nt
Organism: Oxyura jamaicensis (ruddy duck)
Lineage: Eukaryota; Metazoa; Chordata; Aves; Anseriformes; Anatidae
Exons: 3
Source: RefSeq, a predicted model, not a curated record
CUAGAGGAGCUCCUGCACACUGAGGCAGUAUUUCUGCCGUUUGCCUCUCGCUUGCUGUCAGCUGUCAGCAGUAUCAACAGUCCAAAACCCUCUGGAGCGGGCUGUUAUUAGUCAGCUAGACUUGAAUUUCCAGUUCUUUUACAUUGCUGUCUAUUUUCCUUCAUUAAGCUCGCCUGUCCUACCCUGCUAUCAGGUUACAGGGA